AAGUCGUAACAAGGUUUCCGUAGGUGAACCUGCGGAAGGAUCAUUAAAAUAUGAAAUUAUAAAACAGAAUUUGUAGUGUGUUAGAGAGACUUUAACUGUAAAACUCUUGACAACGGAUCUCUUGGUUCCU
Molecule: unclassified non-coding RNA, 130 nt
Filed under: Phylloporus sp.
Lineage: Eukaryota; Fungi; Basidiomycota; Agaricomycetes; Boletales; Boletaceae
Description: partial contains small subunit ribosomal RNA, internal transcribed spacer 1, and 5.8S ribosomal RNA
Rfam family: Eukaryotic small subunit ribosomal RNA (bases 1-46)
Source: RNAcentral